Molecule: ribosomal RNA, 569 nt
Filed under: uncultured bacterium
Lineage: Bacteria
Description: bacterial SSU rRNA
Rfam family: Bacterial small subunit ribosomal RNA
Source: RNAcentral
UUGAGGAGUCCGCGGCCUAUCAGCUUGUUGGUGAGGUAACGGCUCACCAAGGCUUUGACGGGUAGCUGGUCUGAGAGGACGACCAGCCACACUGGAACUGAGACACGGUCCAGACACCUACGGGUGGCAGCAGUCGAGAAUUUUUCUCAAUGGGGGAAACCCUGAAGGAGCGACGCCGCGUGGAGGAUGAAGGUCUUCGGGUUGUAAACUCCUGUCAUUUGGGAACAAUGCGCACGUAUUAACUGUACGGGCGUUGAUAGUACCAGAAGAGGAAGAGACGGCUAACUCUGUGCCAGCAGCCGCGGUAAUACAGAGGUCUCAAGCGUUGUUCGGAUUCAUUGGGCGUAAAGGGUGCGUAGGCGGCGCGGAAAGUCGGGUGUGAAAUUUCGGAGCUUAACUCCGAAACUGCAUUCGAUACUCCCGCGCUUGAGGACUGUAGAGGAGACUGGAAUUUACGGUGUAGCAGUGAAAUGCGUAGAGAUCGUACCGAAGACCAGUGGCUAAAGCGGGUCUCUAGACCGUUCCUGACGCUGAGGCAUCAAGGCCAGGGGAGCAAACGGGGAUUAGAU